CCUGGUUUAAUACUGAGUAUAGCAAGAGAUUUCCGAUUUCCUAUCUGCUUGCCAUUUGAGUCAUAAAUAGAACAAAAAUAAUGUCUGUCCAGAAUCCUGCCAAUCUAGGUCUAAAAUCAUCAAGAUAGGUCCAAAUACUUUAAUCCUUGCACCAGGUGUUAUCAACUCAGGUGUUAUCAGCUUCUUCGUAGUUCUUGGUCGAAUCAUGAGGGCAUGUGAAGUUGAUGGAUGAGUCAAUU
Non-coding RNA from Paramuricea clavata, 239 nucleotides. The record is from the annotation of a GenBank genome assembly. NCBI's taxonomy places the organism in Eukaryota, Metazoa, Cnidaria, Anthozoa, Malacalcyonacea, Plexauridae.